UCCGCGGCUGUGGAGGAGCUCGUUGGGUACCCGCUGGGCGGGCCAGCCAACCCGAAAUCGGGUUGGAACUCGGGCGGCAGACCCUGGAUCCUGAACUGCACUUCGGCUGAGAGUGCAGAGGAGGAAAAUGGCUAUUGUACAUUCAAAAGCAAGGUUCAAGUUCUGCCUUUUCCAGACUCUGCACUUCUCUAAGAUAGGAACCCAGAAGAGGACUGGUCAUUUCUUGCAGCUAUAAAAACCAUGCCUCAGGUGAAGUGCUAUUUCUUUGUGCCCUCUUUAGUUAUUUUUUUACAGUGUGUAUGUGUGUUGACAUUCCUGAGUCUGAAACCUAUCUGACUGGGAAUAUGCUCCUCAAUUUGUGUCUUCGUUUUCUAAUCUAACCUAUUGUUACAUACUAAAUCAACAAUCUAUUGAGCAUCUGUGACCAGGAACACUGAUAUAGCAAAGAUAGAGAAGGAUGUCAAAAGACACACCUAAAUCUUUGAAUUUCUCUUCAGUCCCUUAUUUCCUAAUUAGACAAGAUAGUAGUUGGUCUUAACUGGGCUGAGUCUCAGUAUGUGGCAAAAGCUCAUGUUUUUGUUUGUUUGGGUUUUUUUGGAGAGGGGUUGGUUGGUUGUUUUUUGAGAUAGGAUCUUACUAUGUAGCCCAGGCUGGCCUGGAACUGGGAUUCUCCUCUGCUUCCUGAGUGCUGGUUUACAGGAACCGAGCAUGCUGUAUAAGCUAAGAGUAGUCACAUGACUAGGGACUGAAUACAGAUCAGGCAUCUUUCUAGGAAUGAUAAUUGGUAAACACCAAUUAAUUUGAUUAUUUUGAAAUUCAACAUCAUUUCCA
This 831-nucleotide long non-coding RNA is filed under the name Castor canadensis (American beaver). RNAcentral describes it as "lncRNA (ENSCCNG00000004950.1)". Lineage: Eukaryota; Metazoa; Chordata; Mammalia; Rodentia; Castoridae. The record is from RNAcentral.